GUGGGGAAUUUUGCGCAAUGGGCGCAAGCCUGACGCAGCAACGCCGCGUGAGUGAUGAAGGUCUUCGGAUCGUAAAGCUCUGUCGGCGGGAACGAUGCUUUCGCUGGAUAACACCCAGCGGGACUGACGGUACUCGCAAAGGAAGCACCGGCUAACUCUGUGCCAGCAGCCGCGGUAAGACAGAGGGUGCAAGCGUUGUUCGGAAUCAUUGGGCGUAAAGGGCGCGUAGGCGGCUUGGCAAGUUGGAUGUGAAAGCCCCGGGCUUAACCCGGGAAGUGCAUCCAAAACUGCUUUGCUUGAGUGCUGGAGAGGGUGGCGGAAUUCCCAGUGUAGAGGUGAAAUUCGUAGAUAUUGGGAGGAACACCCGUGGCGAAGGCGGCCACCUGGACAGACACUGACGCUGAGGCGCGAAAGCGUGGGGAGCAAACAGGAUUAGAAACCCUAGUAGUCC
RNAcentral lists this ribosomal RNA (451 nucleotides) under uncultured bacterium. Its description in RNAcentral is "bacterial SSU rRNA". It matches the Rfam family "Bacterial small subunit ribosomal RNA", at positions 354 to 796 of the family's 1533-position model. The record is from RNAcentral.